UCCUCCUUAGCUCAGUUGGUUAGAGCAUCUGACUGUUAAUCAGAGGGCCGCUGGUUCAAGUCCAGCAGGAGGAGCAA
This 77-nucleotide transfer RNA is filed under the name Bacteroidota bacterium. RNAcentral's name for it is "Bacteroidetes bacterium tRNA-Asn". It matches the Rfam family "tRNA". From Rfam's summary of the family: Transfer RNA (tRNA) molecules are approximately 80 nucleotides in length. Their secondary structure includes four short double-helical elements and three loops (D, anti-codon, and T loops). The record is from RNAcentral. Lineage: Bacteria; Pseudomonadati; Bacteroidota.